This 497-nucleotide ribosomal RNA is filed under the name uncultured bacterium. RNAcentral describes it as "partial 16S ribosomal RNA". It matches the Rfam family "Bacterial small subunit ribosomal RNA", at positions 28 to 507 of the family's 1533-position model. The record is from RNAcentral.
GAUGAACGCUGGCGGCGUGCCUAAUACAUGCAAGUCGAGCGAACAGACGAGGAGCUUGCUCCUCUGACGUUAGCGGCGGACGGGUGAGUAACACGUGGAUAACCUACCUAUAAGACUGGGAUAACUUUGGGAAACCGGAUCUAAUACCGGAUAAUAUAUUGAACCGCAUGGUUCAAUAGUGAAAGACGGUUUUGCUGUCACUUAUAGAUGGAUCCGCGCCGCUUUAGCUAGUUGGGAAGGUAACGGCUUACCAAGGCGACGAUGCGUAGCCGACCUGAGAGGGUGGUAGGCCACACUGGAACUGAGACACGGUCCAGACUCCUACGGGAGGCAGCAGUAGGGAAUCUUCCGCAAUGGGCGAAAGCCUGACGGAGCAACGCCGCGUGAGUGAUGAAGGUCUUCGGAUCGUAAAACUCUGUUAUUAGGGAAGAACAAAUGUGUAAGUAACUAUGCACGUCUUGACGGUACCUAAUAAGAAAGCCACGGCUAACUACGUG